This 540-nucleotide ribosomal RNA is filed under the name uncultured soil bacterium. RNAcentral describes it as "bacterial SSU rRNA". It matches the Rfam family "Bacterial small subunit ribosomal RNA", at positions 8 to 526 of the family's 1533-position model. The record is from RNAcentral.
AGAGUUUGAUCCUGGCUCAGAACGAACGCUGGCGGCGUGCUUAACACAUGCAAGUCGAACGCGAAAGGGACUUCGGUCCUGAGUAAAGUGGCGCACGGGUGAGUAACGCGUGGAUAAUCUACCCAAUGAUCUGGGAUAACAUCUCGAAAGGGGUGCUAAUACCGGAUAAGACCACGAAGUCCUCGGACUUUGCGGUAAAAGGUGGGGACCUUCGGGCCUACCGUCAUCGGAUGAGUCCGCGUACCAUUAGCUAGUUGGUGGGGUAAAGGCCUACCAAGGCUACGAUGGUUAGCUGGUCUGAGAGGAUGAUCAGCCACACUGGAACUGAGACACGGUCCAGACUCCUACGGGAGGCAGCAGUGGGGAAUUUUGCGCAAUGGGGGAAACCCUGACGCAGCAACGCCGCGUGAGUGAUGAAGGCUUUCGGGUCGUAAAGCUCUGUCAGAGGGGAAGAAAUGCUUGGGUGCUAAUACCACUCAUGCUUGACGGUACCCUCAAAGGAAGCACCGGCUAACUCCGUGCCAGCCGCCGCGGUAAUUC